Molecule: ribosomal RNA, 450 nt
Filed under: uncultured bacterium
Lineage: Bacteria
Description: partial 16S ribosomal RNA
Rfam family: Bacterial small subunit ribosomal RNA
Source: RNAcentral
CCUACGGGAGGCUGCAGUAAGGACUAUUGGUCAAUGGACGAAAGUCUGAACCAGCCAUCCCGCGUGCAGGAUGAAAGCCCUAUGGGUUGUAAACUGCUUUUAGCAGAGAAGAAAAGCUUUCAUUAAUGAGAGUCUGACGGUAUCUGCAGAAUAAGCACCGGCUAACUCCGUGCCAGCAGCCGCGGUAAUACGGAGGGUGCGAGCGUUAUCCGGAUUUACGGGGUUGAAGGCGUACUUAUAAGGCGGUUGAGAAAUCUUGUCGCUUAACGAUAAAAUUGCCAAUGAUACUGGUACUCUUGAAGUGGGUUGAGGUUAGCGGAAUGUGACAUGUAGCGGUGAAAUGCAUAGAUAUGUCAUGGAACACCAAUUGCGAAGGCAGCUAACUGGGCCUUGAUUGACGCUGAGGCACGAAAGCGUGGGUAGCGAACAGGAUUAGAUACCCGGGUAGUC